This 354-nucleotide ribosomal RNA is filed under the name uncultured bacterium. RNAcentral's name for it is "partial 16S ribosomal RNA". It matches the Rfam family "Bacterial small subunit ribosomal RNA", at positions 338 to 709 of the family's 1533-position model. The record is from RNAcentral.
CCUACGGGAGGCAGCAGUAGGGAAUAUUGCUCAAUGGAGGAAACUCUGACGCAGCAACGCCGCGUGGAGGAUGAAGGUUUUCGGAUUGUAAACUCCUUUUGUUAGAGACGAUAAUGACGGUAUCUAACGAAUAAUCAACGGCUAACUCCGUGCCAGCAGCCGCGGUAAUACGGCGGGUGCAAGCGUUACUCGGCAUCACUGGGCGUAAAGAGCGCGUAGGCGGGAUAGCAAGUCAGAUGUGAAAUCCUAUGGCUUAACCAUAGCACUGCAUUUGAAACUGGUAUUCUAGAGUAUGGGAGAGGUAGGUGGAAUUCGUGGUGUAGGGGUGAAAUGCGUAGAGAUCAAGAAGAAUAC